AGGAAGUUAAGGGUUAACAUUUGAAAUUUCGCAAAGGACUUUUUUCAAACUUUCUUAUACUUAUAGAAUUUUCAAAAUUAUUCGCUAUCUCCUCUCCUCCAAUGGCUACAAGUAAGUACGUUGAUCGGCAUAAUCGCGUGCAACCUUGAGGAUCCAAAACGGAAAGCACGCCUUCAUCAAUCUAGGGUUCGAUUAGAGGUAAAGGAAUGAGGGCCUUCGACUUCAACAUCGCGCUCAACAAUCUCGAGAAGUACGUUUUCCGCGAACACGUGAAGGAAUCUGGCAACUCCGCCGCUGUCGAAGAGUAUCAGAUCGACAUACAUCCUGUUGUUAACGCUUUCAUCCACGGACAAUGAUGACAUGGAUCGUUCCUCCACUGCCUUUACCUCCUUCAUCCACAACGAAAUCAGCCUUGGCAACGCCAAGGAGCAAAUUCUGCCUUCGGCCUCGAUUCAUAUGACUUGAAAUAACACUUGGAGCAGCCUAAGGGUGAACUUAUAUUCAUGAAGAAUUAGAAAUUCAGGUUAGAGUUUAAUAAAUAUGAUUAUAAAUUAUUCUUGCUAUGAUCAUUCAUUGCUCAAGGGUGAACUUAUCUUCAUGAGGAAUUAUAAAUUCAUUGUUAUGAUCAUACAAAUAGUGAAAUACAAUAUGGUUUCAGCCUUGAAAAAUAGUCAAACAUAUUUUUCCUUGUGAGUUUCUAUUGAAGUCAUUUAUAACUGUCAUUUGUUAGACAACUAUAAUUGACCUCUUAGUUGGUAUUCUGCAGUAUAUAUAGACAUUGUAACAGAAGUUCCUCAUUUAUGAAAAUUUUUCCUUUGAUACAAAGCAAUAUAUGGAUUUUGGUUCCUUUAGUUAGCAUUAUCUUGUUGGAUUUUGAAUUUGGUAUAUUUCUAUUUCCUUGCUAUAUUUUUUUCUGGUAGUUUGGCUAUACUUAUGUUUAGUUCUUUUAUAAUUUAUCAAAUUAUAGCACUUAGGAAAUGCAGAAGACAGGAUAGAAUACUUUGUCUCUAAACCAAUACUUAAAAAAUAUUAAAGUGUAUUGUAUCUAACAAAUGUUUGAUGAAGUUGUUUUAUUAGUGCUCAAUUGUUUCUGUUUAUUGAUGACAUGUUAAACUCUGAGCCUUUCUACGUGAAGGGAGUUGAACAAUUUCGACAAGCUUCAGAGAUUUCACUAUAGUGUGUGCCUGCACAAUAUGGACUUGGUUUGGCAAAAGACUACAUAAUCUAGGAGCAUAUAGAUGGGUGGUUUCACUGUUAGAGGCAGGGAAGCAUGGAGUUUCUCUUCUCUUAGCCCAACACAAAGCCAAACACAUAUCUUCUAUCUUGUUCUACUUAGGUUGCUAUAAUUGAGGAAUGACCAUUGAAACCAAACAGGGGAAAGAGUUCAUUUUCAGGUCCAAGCUUAUUAAUUCCAAAAUUUGUGGGACAGUCUUUGCCCCCACGAGAACGGUCUACAACUACUCUAAAUUGUUGUCCUGAUGAUGGCCAAGAUUGAUAAGUAUGAAAAAUACUUAUUAUUCUUAUUUUAUUGGACCUCUUAAUUGUACUUAAUCAUGUGUUUUGUGGGAAGUUUUAGGUUGUUUUUAGGUUAGAUAUAUUUUGUUAUCUUUGAGAUUAUUGUAUAGGAAAGUGAAGGAUUGGAGAAGAAGUGAGGUUAUUCUGUCAGGACCCAGUCGCCCAGCGAAAUGGACCAGUCGCCCAGUGAGUGUGCUCUUUCGCCCAACGAGUAAUCACCGGUCGCCCAGCGAGUAAGUCAUCUCGCCCAGCGAGAAGACGGUUUUCUGAAGUGGUUAUAGUUUCGAAAAGUUACACGAAACUGUGUGCUGGAGUGUGGGAACGCGAUAGAACCAGAAAGGAGACGAAAAAGCACCAUUCUAGGGCAAGGAGACUUCACAACAAUUCAUCAAUUCCAUCAAAUUCAUCCAUCUUUUGUUCUAGAUGCUUAGGAGUGACUAAACUCCUCCUUCAUUAGGGUUGGAUGUAAUGAACCUAUACUCUUUGUAAUUUUCCUAUGCAAUGUAACCUCUUUCGUUGUUCAUAUGUUUUAUCUCAAUUAUAAAUGUGCUUGAUGUAAAUCUUUGCUAUUUGGUUGUAUCUAAUUAUUGGAAAAUGAAUUGGAACUUAACCUUGGAUAGAACAACCAUGAGAUUGGGUUCUAGGAAUAGACGUAAUCUCUAGGUCAUUCUAUACAUCAAAUCUUAAUGUAAGUCAUGUGUUAAAAUAGUUAAGGAAUUAAUAUUUUGACAUAUUUGACUUAGAACUUACUUCUAAGGAAUUAGGGGUUAGUAAGCUUAUGAUGAGGAUGUUUGAGCACGAUAGAGAAAUUGUGUAGGAAAUAUUGCGUUAGUAUGGUUCAUGAAAUCCAACCUUGAUGAAGUGUUUCUUAAAUCCUUUUAUAACUUUAGU
Molecule: long non-coding RNA, 2406 nt
Organism: Vigna unguiculata (cowpea)
Lineage: Eukaryota; Viridiplantae; Streptophyta; Magnoliopsida; Fabales; Fabaceae
Source: RefSeq, a predicted model, not a curated record